GCGCAAGCAGUGUAGGUGCAAUGAUUGAAUAACAUGUUCUUGUGGAUCUAUGUGGCAGUAAAGGGGUGGAGCGAGCCAACCAGCGAGCCAACCAGCAAAACUGUGAAGGGCGGAUACUCUGCACCGUGGUCGACUGUCGAGACCUAUGUGUGCAGGUGUAUACAGAGUGACAGCUCAUCCGUUUUCAAAUAUUAUUUUUAAGAUGAUUUAUUGACCAGUUAGGAUAUUAUAACUAAGGAGAGUUUGGGCCAAAAUAGCGGCUGGGCCAUGAUUCGUUCCCGCAGAAACAGGAAGAUAAUUUCUGAAAUGCGUGGCCGCAGCAAUGGUGUUGGGAAAGUAUUUAAUACCAGACAUGGCUAUGUCAUGUUGGCUACUGUAACAAAGGGUACAACGCUCUAAAUCAAAAAGCAUGUGUUUGAUUCAGCUAAGAUGACUCUGUCUCAACUCAAAACAUUUCCAAAUAUCUUUCAACAGUGUGUGAUAUAAUUUAUUUUAUUAAUGUCAUUAUUCUGUGCUUUUGCUUGUAACGCAAACGGAAAACCAUUAUAGCCCUGAUGACCUCAUAGUGAAUAUUGGGAAGAAGACAGCUGGAGCAUCAUCAUCAUCAGAUCAUUUCACAUGUAUUUAAAAUAAGAUGUCACGUUAGAAUUGGAACGCUUCACACUUGCAUAUUAAUGUUACAUCAUGUUACAACAAACUGCUAUUUCGCUUAUUCUAAAUAAACCUUUUAAGCAUCA
Molecule: long non-coding RNA, 737 nt
Filed under: Salmo salar (Atlantic salmon)
Lineage: Eukaryota; Metazoa; Chordata; Actinopteri; Salmoniformes; Salmonidae
Description: lncRNA (ENSSSAG00000087711.1, ENSSSAG00000096326.1, ENSSSAG00020082268.1, ENSSSAG00075060628.1)
Source: RNAcentral